RNAcentral lists this non-coding RNA (104 nucleotides) under Novibacillus thermophilus. Its description in RNAcentral is "SAM-I sequence". It matches the Rfam family "SAM riboswitch aptamer (S box leader)". From Rfam's summary of the family: The SAM riboswitch is found upstream of a number of genes which code for proteins involved in methionine or cysteine biosynthesis in Gram-positive bacteria. The SAM riboswitch acts at the level of transcription termination control. Lineage: Bacteria; Bacillati; Bacillota; Bacilli; Caryophanales; Thermoactinomycetaceae. The record is from Rfam by way of RNAcentral.
UUCUUAUCCAGAGAGGGGGAGGGACUGACCCUAUGAACUCUCGGCAACCAGCCGCAACGGCCCGGUGCCAAUUUCAGAGGAAUGGUUCAUUCCGAAGAUGAGAA